Molecule: ribosomal RNA, 253 nt
Filed under: uncultured bacterium
Lineage: Bacteria
Description: partial 16S ribosomal RNA
Rfam family: Bacterial small subunit ribosomal RNA
Source: RNAcentral
UACGUAGGAGACAAACGUUAUCCGGAGUUACUGGGCGUAAAGGGCGUGUAGGCGGUCUGUUAAGUCUGGCGUGAAAGCUCUCGGCUAAACCGGGAGAGGUCGUUGGAUACUGGCAGACUAGAGGACGGUAGAGGCGUGUGGAAUUCCGGGUGUAGUGGUGAAAUGCGUAGAGAUCCGGAGGAACACCAGUGGCGAAGGCGACACGCUGGGCCGUACCUGACGCUAAAGCGCGACAGCAUGGGGAGCAAACGGG